GGGCCUCUAGCUCAGUUGGUUAGAGCAGGGGACUCAUAAUCCCUUGGUCCUCGGUUCGAGCCCGAGGGGGCCCACCA
Molecule: transfer RNA, 77 nt
Filed under: Methylococcus sp.
Lineage: Bacteria; Pseudomonadati; Pseudomonadota; Gammaproteobacteria; Methylococcales; Methylococcaceae
Also listed under: 2 other names
Description: tRNA-Ile
Rfam family: tRNA
About the family: Transfer RNA (tRNA) molecules are approximately 80 nucleotides in length. Their secondary structure includes four short double-helical elements and three loops (D, anti-codon, and T loops).
Source: RNAcentral